Long non-coding RNA from Panthera uncia (snow leopard), 427 nucleotides. RefSeq lists it as uncharacterized. Lineage: Eukaryota; Metazoa; Chordata; Mammalia; Carnivora; Felidae. The transcript has 3 exons. The record is from RefSeq and is a predicted model, not a curated record.
GCAGGCUCGCGAGCGCGAGCGAAAAUGGCGCCUGCUAGCGUCCGCGUGGAGAGUGUUCGGUCCAGCCGCCGCCCGGAAGUGGAAGUAUGUGUUGAAUUACAGGCCUGCCCCCUCGGACCAUGGAUUUCAUAGAAGCAGGUGAAUGUAGCACUGCUGCAUGAAAAUUUGGUCCUAGAAGUACAACCGGAAUUUAGCAAAUGCCACUGGAAGCAGUUACAUCAAUCCAAGUAGGAGAAAGGAGAGUAGCAGAUGCAGAAAAUGAUGGUGUAAGAUGGAGAGCUCUCUUGCAGGCUAAGCAAGAACCUUGAAGAGCAGUGCAAUGUCAAGGCACGUCUGAAUCUUCCCAAGAUUUGCAUUUUUAUAAAGGUGUGUCAGGUCAGUCUGGUUUCAAGCAUAAUAGUAAGAAUAAGACUAACUCUUUGUCCUA